RNAcentral lists this ribosomal RNA (253 nucleotides) under uncultured bacterium. Its description in RNAcentral is "partial 16S ribosomal RNA". It matches the Rfam family "Bacterial small subunit ribosomal RNA", at positions 524 to 776 of the family's 1533-position model. The record is from RNAcentral.
UACGAGAGGCCCAAACGUUAUUCGGAUUUACUGGGCUUAAAGAGUUCGUAGGCGGUUCGGUAAGUGAGGUGUGAAAGCCCUCGGCUCAACCGAGGAAUUGCGCUUCAAACUGCCGGGCUCGAGGGAGAUAGAGGUGAGCGGAACUGAUGGUGGAGCGGUGAAAUGCGUUGAUAUCAUCAGGAACACCAGAGGCGAAGGCGGCUCACUGGGUCUCUACUGACGCUGAGGAACGAAAGCCAGGGGAGCAAACGGG